AGAGUUUGAUCCUGGCUCAGGAUGAACGCUGGCGGCGUGCUUAACACAUGCAAGUCGAACGGGAAAUACUUUAUUGAAACUUCGGUCGAUUUAAUUUAUUUCUAGUGGCGGACGGGUGAGUAACGCGUGGGUAACCUGCCUUAUACUGGGGGAUAACAGCCAGAAAUGACUGCUAAUACCGCAUAAGCGCACAGAACCGCAUGGUUCGGUGUGAAAAACUCCGGUGGUAUAAGAUGGACCCGCGUUGGAUUAGCUAGUUGGCAGGGCAGCGGCCUACCAAGGCGACGAUCCAUAGCCGGCCUGAGAGGGUGAACGGCCACAUUGGGACUGAGACACGGCCCAGACUCCUACGGGAGGCAGCAGUGGGGAAUAUUGCACAAUGGGGGAAACCCUGAUGCAGCGACGCCGCGUGAAGGAAGAAGUAUCUCGGUAUGUAAACUUCUAUCAGCAGGGAAGAUAAUGACGGUACCUGACUAAGAAGCCCCGGCUAACUACGUGCCAGCAGCCGCGGUAAUACGUAGGGGGCAAGCGUUAUCCGGAUUUACUGGGUGUAAAGGGAGCGUAGACGGCGCAGCAAGUCUGAUGUGAAAGGCAGGGGCUUAACCCCUGGACUGCAUUGGAAACUGCUGUGCUUGAGUGCCGGAGGGGUAAGCGGAAUUCCUAGUGUAGCGGUGAAAUGCGUAGAUAUUAGGAGGAACACCAGUGGCGAAGGCGGCUUACUGGACGGUAACUGACGUUGAGGCUCGAAAGCGUGGGGAGCAAACAAAAUUAGAUACCCUGGUAGUCCACGCCGUAAACGAUGAA
This 804-nucleotide ribosomal RNA is filed under the name uncultured bacterium. RNAcentral's name for it is "bacterial SSU rRNA". It matches the Rfam family "Bacterial small subunit ribosomal RNA", at positions 8 to 813 of the family's 1533-position model. The record is from RNAcentral.